Molecule: long non-coding RNA, 1351 nt
Organism: Pyrus x bretschneideri (Chinese white pear)
Lineage: Eukaryota; Viridiplantae; Streptophyta; Magnoliopsida; Rosales; Rosaceae
Exons: 2
Source: RefSeq, a predicted model, not a curated record
UGACGAGGUACAGUUUCAUAGCAAUCAGAAAAUGAAAAAUCUCCAAAUGUGCGUCCUAGAUUAACAAUCCUUUUCCUCAUCAAUUAUAAGAGGCAUCUCUAAAAUCUCUUUAUCUAACUCUGGAAAAGUAGAAGAAAAAAAGAAGAAGGAAUAACCGAUUUUCCCAUAUCAUAAUGUCUGAGACUUUUGUCUGAAAUAGAGAAGGAGCAAGCUCAGUAGCAGCAACAGCGUCCAUAAUAGGCAUAACCAACCACUUAUCAAUCAAAAGAGAAGUACUAGAACCAUACCAAUUGCUCAGCGAUAAUUCUAAAACAAGAUAUGAACAAUAGAUUAAUGCCGGGCCAUAUAGAAGAUUGUUUGUAACAAGAAAAGUAUAAAUAACCAUGUAGUUGAAAUCGCUCCAAAAAACUGUAGAGAAUUAGAAGUAAUAAUAACUCAUCUAAUGUGCCAUUUGGUAUUAUGGUCUGUUAGUAUUCCUCUUCACUUAUAAGUGAGAUGUGUUAUGUUUCAUUUUCGCUAAAAGCGGAGUUGAACCACAUAAUACGUUACCCAGUGUGAGACUUAGCCUACCCUCCAACCUUAAUGUAGAUACUAUCGUUUAUAAAAUAAUAAUAAUAAUAAUAAUAAUAAAAUAAAAACAAAAAAAAAUAAAAAAUAACUCAUCUAAGAUUUAAGAGAACUCUAAUAUCUAGGGAGCAAAAAUCACAUAAACCGCAAUCCAUCCUCUUUUUCGAUGCACAAAUCCGAGACAAAAACCACUGACAAUUUUCAUUGAACUAACGUCAGCAAACUGUCACAAUUUUCUUUGAACUAACGUCAGCGGAGCAUAUCUGGUGGGAAAGUGAACGCCCGCCACAAAGAAUUGAUUCCAGGCAAUUUCCAUGUCCUUUCACAGACAAUCGGAUUCUUCUUCUAUUUAAUUAACAAUUAUUGCAAUGCGCACUCUUAACCCUCCUCUCACUUUCACUCAACCCUUAGCGCCUCACGGAGCUCACAGCUCAGCGUCGGUACGGCGGCGUCGUCAGUUCCCGAUUCAUCCAUGGCGGAGGCCGAUUCCAGCCGUGUUGACUUGGAUUACGCGGAGAUCAUUGUAGUGCGUCAUGGCGAAACGGUCUGGAAUGCUGACCGUAGAAUCCAGACAUUUACUAAAUCAGAAAGAGAAAGGAUAGAGAGGAUAGAGAGCCAACCAGACAUUUACUUGCUAUUAGCAAGUUAACUGGUUUAUUUCUUUUCAACGUUCACCAUUUUCUAUUAACCGUUUUAGAUAUUUAGUUCUCAAUUCAAACCAUCGACUUUCUGUAGUAUUUAAUAUUACGUUCACAAUUUUUAUCCUAAACUCCUUAGUUAUUUA